AUUGAACGCUGGCGGCAGGCCUAACACAUGCAAGUCGAAUGGUAACAGGAAACAGCUUGCUGUUUCGCUGACGAGUGGCGGACGGGUGAGUAAUGUCUGGGAAACUGCCUGAUGGAGGGGGAUAACUACUGGAAACGGUAGCUAAUACCGCAUAACGUCGCAAGACCAAAGAGGGGGACCUUCGGGCCUCUUGCCAUCAGAUGUGCCCAGAUGGGAUUAGCUAGUAGGUGGGGUAACGGCUCACCUAGGCGACGAUCCCUAGCUGGUCUGAGAGGAUGACCAGCCACACUGGAACUGAGACACGGUCCAGACCCCUACGGGAGGCAGCAGUGGGGAAUAUUGCACAAAGGGCGCAAGCCUGAUGCAGCCAUGCCGCGUGUAUGAAGAAGGCCUUCGGGUUGUAAAGUACUUUCAGCGGGGAGGAAGGGAGUAAAGUUAAUACCUUUGCUCAUUGACGUUACCCGCAGAAGAAGCACCGGCUAACUCCGUG
RNAcentral lists this ribosomal RNA (490 nucleotides) under uncultured bacterium. Its description in RNAcentral is "partial 16S ribosomal RNA". It matches the Rfam family "Bacterial small subunit ribosomal RNA", at positions 30 to 507 of the family's 1533-position model. The record is from RNAcentral.